GACGAACGCUGGCGGCGUGCUUAACACAUGCAAGUCGAACGGAAAGGCCCUGCUUGCAGGGUACUCGAGUGGCGAACGGGUGAGUAACACGUGGGUGAUCUGCCCUGCACUUCGGGAUAAGCUUGGGAAACUGGGUCUAAUACCGGAUAGGACCGCACUUUAGUGUGUGUGGUGGAAAGUUUUUUCGGUGUAGGAUGAGCUCGCGGCCUAUCAGCUUGUUGGUGGGGUAAUGGCCUACCAAGGCGGCGACGGGUAGCCGGCCUGAGAGGGUGUACGGCCACAUUGGGACUGAGAUACGGCCCAGACUCCUACGGGAGGCAGCAGUGGGAAAUAUUGCACAAUGGGCGCAAGCCUGAUGCAGCGACGCCGCGUGGGGGAUGAAGGCCUUCGGGUUGUAAACUCCUUUCGCUAGGGACGAAGCUUUUUGUGACGGUACCUAGAUAAGAAGCACCGGCUAACUACGUG
RNAcentral lists this ribosomal RNA (465 nucleotides) under uncultured bacterium. Its description in RNAcentral is "partial 16S ribosomal RNA". It matches the Rfam family "Bacterial small subunit ribosomal RNA", at positions 28 to 507 of the family's 1533-position model. The record is from RNAcentral.